This 253-nucleotide ribosomal RNA is filed under the name uncultured bacterium. Its description in RNAcentral is "partial 16S ribosomal RNA". It matches the Rfam family "Bacterial small subunit ribosomal RNA", at positions 524 to 776 of the family's 1533-position model. The record is from RNAcentral.
GACGAACUGUCCUAACGUUGUUCGGAAUCACUGGGCUUAAAGGGCGCGUAGGCGGUCCGACAAGUCAGGGGUGAAAUCCUGCAGCUUAACUGCAGAAGUGCCUUUGAUACUGUCGGUCUGGAGGGAGAUAGGGGUGUGCGGAACUCACAGUGGAGCGGUGAAAUGCGUUGAUAUUGUGAGGAACGCCGGAGGCGAAAGCGGCGCACUGGAUCUCUUCUGACGCUGAGGCGCGAAAGCUAGGGGAGCAAGCGGG